RNAcentral lists this ribosomal RNA (553 nucleotides) under uncultured bacterium. RNAcentral describes it as "bacterial SSU rRNA". It matches the Rfam family "Bacterial small subunit ribosomal RNA", at positions 777 to 1328 of the family's 1533-position model. The record is from RNAcentral.
AAUAGAUACCCCGGUAGUCCACGCCGUAAACGAUGAGUGCUAAGUGUUAGGGGGUUUCCGCCCCUUAGUGCUGCAGCUAACGCAUUAAGCACUCCGCCUGGGGAGUACGGUCGCAAGACUGAAACUCAAAGGAAUUGACGGGGGCCCGCACAAGCGGUGGAGCAUGUGGUUUAAUUCGAAGCAACGCGAAGAACCUUACCAGGUCUUGACAUCCCAUUGACCACUAUGGAGACAUAGUUUUCCCUUCGGGGACAACGGUGACAGGUGGUGCAUGGUUGUCGUCAGCUCGUGUCGUGAGAUGUUGGGUUAAGUCCCGCAACGAGCGCAACCCUUGUUCUUAGUUGCCAUCAUUUAGUUGGGCACUCUAAGGAGACUGCCGGUGACAAACCGGAGGAAGGUGGGGAUGACGUCAAAUCAUCAUGCCCCUUAUGACCUGGGCUACACACGUGCUACAAUGGACGGUACAAACGGUUGCCAACCCGCGAGGGGGAGCUAAUCCGAUAAAACCGUUCUCAGUUCGGAUUGUAGGCUGCAACUCGCCUACAUGAAGCCG